This 1321-nucleotide ribosomal RNA is filed under the name gamma proteobacterium AKB07. RNAcentral describes it as "partial 16S ribosomal RNA". It matches the Rfam family "Bacterial small subunit ribosomal RNA", at positions 37 to 1248 of the family's 1533-position model. The record is from RNAcentral. Lineage: Bacteria; Pseudomonadati; Pseudomonadota; Gammaproteobacteria.
UGGUGGUAGGCCUAACACAUGUAAGUCGAUGGGUAACANAAGGGAGCUCGCUCCUCGGACGGCCAGUGGCGGACGGGCGAGCAAUAUCUGGGAAUUCGCCUCGUAGAUGGGGAUAACAUUGAGAAACUGGCGCUAAUACCGGAUAAUAUGAAGAGUUGUAAGGGGGGGGCGUUGUGGCUCGCUGUCAUAGGAUGGCCUGUGUGGUACCAGCUAGCCGGUGAGGCAACGGCUCACUAAGGCGAUGAUCCGUAGCUGAUCUGAGAGGAUGACUGGUUACACUGGGACUGAGAUACGGUCUAGAUUCCUAUGGGAGGCAGUAGCGGGGAAUAUUGCACAACGGAUGAAAGCCUGAUGCAGCCAUGCCGCGCGUGUNAAGAANUUCUUCGGGUUGCAAAGUACUUUCACCAGGGAGGAAUAAGCAUUGUUUAAUACGGUGGCAUUCUGAUGUUAUUCACAGAAGAAGGACGGGCUAACUCAUUGCCUACAGUUGUGGUAAUACGCAGGCGGCAAGCGUUCAUUGGAAUUACCGGGCGUAAAUCGUUCGCAGGCGGUCUGUUAAGCCAGAUGUGAAAUCCCCGGGCUCAAUCUNGGAACNGCAUCUGNAACUGGCGGACUUCAGCCUNGUAGAGGGGGGUGGAAUUCCAGUUGUAGCGGUGAAAGCCAGCGUUUUUAACAAUUUUAAAGCCCGGGUUCACCUGGGAUGUCAUUUGAAUUGCCAGCUAAAUUUUGUAAGGGGGUAGAUUUCAGGUGUACGGUUAAAUUGGUAAAGUUCUGGAGGAAUACCGGUGCGAAGGCGGCCCCUUGGACGAAGACUGACGCUCAGGCACGAAAGCGUGGGGAGCAAACAGGAUUAGAUACCCUGGUAGUCCACGCCGUAACGAUGUCUACUCGGAGUUUGGCGUCUAGAACGCUGGGCUCUCAAGCUAACGCAUUAAGUAGACCGCCUGGGGAGUACGGCCGCAAGGUUAAAACUCAAAUGAAUUGACGGGGGCCCGCACAAGCGGUGGAGCAUGUGGUUUAAUUCGAUGCAACGCGAAGAACCUUACCUACUCUUGACAUCCAGAGAAUUUUCCAGAGAUGGAUUAGUGCCUUCGGGAACUCUGAGGCAGGUGCUGCAUGGCUGUCGUCAGCUCGUGUUGUGAAAUGUUGGGUUAAGUCCCGCAACGAGCGCAACCCUUAUCCUUACUUGCCAGCGGGUGAUGCCGGGAACUGUAGGGAGACUGCCGGUGAUAAACCGGAGGAAGGUGGGAACGACCCCCCAGUCAUCAUGGCCCUUACGAGUAGGGCUACAAAAAAGCUACNAUGGACAGUACAGAGGAAG